AGUUCGGAUUGUAGUCUGCAACCGACUACAUGAAGCUGGAAUCGCUAGUAAUCGCGGAUCAGAAUGCCGCGGUGAAUACGUUCCCGGGUCUUGUACACACCGCCCGUCACACCAUGGGAGUCGGAAAUGCCCGAAGUCUGUGACCUAACCGUAAGGAAGGAGCAGCCGAAGGCAGGUCGGAUGACUGGGGUGAAGUCGUAACAAGGUAAC
This 210-nucleotide ribosomal RNA is filed under the name uncultured bacterium. RNAcentral's name for it is "partial 16S ribosomal RNA". It matches the Rfam family "Bacterial small subunit ribosomal RNA", at positions 1290 to 1500 of the family's 1533-position model. The record is from RNAcentral.